RNAcentral lists this microRNA precursor (55 nucleotides) under Xenopus tropicalis (tropical clawed frog). Its description in RNAcentral is "Xtr-Mir-34-P2b1_pre stem-loop". Lineage: Eukaryota; Metazoa; Chordata; Amphibia; Anura; Pipidae. The record is from RNAcentral.
AGGCAGUGUAUUUAGAAGAUUUGAUUUAAUAUCAAUCACUAACUACACAGCUAGG